GGCUCGAUAUCGAGACAGUUGUUAAAGGAGUAAUCCGCCUAAAGAGCAGCCUGCGGCAGAUUAGCUAGUUGGUAAGGUAAAUGGCUUUACCCAAAGGCUACGAUCUGUAACCGACCUGAGAGGGUGGUCGGUCACACUGACACUGAAUAACGGGUCAGACUCCUACGGAGGCAGCAGUCGGGAAUUUUGGGCAAUGGGCGAAAGCCUGACCCAGCAACGCCGCGUGAAGGAUGAAGUCUCUCGGGAUGUAAACUUCGUAAGAAUAGGAAGAAUAAAUGACGGUACUAUUUGUAAGGUCCGGCUAACUACGUG
RNAcentral lists this ribosomal RNA (312 nucleotides) under uncultured bacterium. RNAcentral's name for it is "bacterial SSU rRNA". It matches the Rfam family "Bacterial small subunit ribosomal RNA", at positions 182 to 507 of the family's 1533-position model. The record is from RNAcentral.